Molecule: unclassified non-coding RNA, 391 nt
Filed under: soil metagenome
Description: partial contains 5.8S ribosomal RNA, internal transcribed spacer 2, and large subunit ribosomal RNA
Rfam family: 5.8S ribosomal RNA (bases 1-122)
Source: RNAcentral
GAUGAAGAACGUAGUGAAAUGCGAUACUUGGUGUGAAUUGCAGAAUCCCGUGAACCAUCGAGUCUUUGAACGCAAGUUGCGCCCGAAGCCACUAGGCCGAGGGCACGCCUGCCUGGGCGUCACACGUCGUUGCCCCCCCAUCUACUCCUUCGGGAUUGCGGGGGGCGGAUGAUGGCCUCCCGUGCGCCUCGCCGCGCGGUUGGCAUAAAUGCCAAGUCCUCGGCGACGCACGCCACGACAAUCGGUGGUUGCGAAACCUCGGUUGCCCGUCGUGUGCGGUCGUCGCGCAUCGAGGGCUCGAAAAAAUUGCCGGGUUCCGGCUCGGCUUUCAACGCGACCCCAGGUCAGGCGGGGUUACCCGCUGAAUUUAAGCAUAUCAAUAAGCGGAGGA